GAGGAAGUGCCGGCCCACUGAAGCGGUGGGGACGCGCCCAGCGGAGCGAAUCAGAUUAGCUGGCUGGUGUUUGGUUGUUCUGGAGUGAUCUUCUGACUGGAAAAGAACUAUGUCAUGGAUCAAGGAAGGAGAACUGUCACUUUGGGAGCGGUUCUGUGCCAACAUCAUAAAGGUGAGCAAUGGCCCAGAGCACCGGCUGGCCUUCUGGUCAGUUGGAUAAUCUUAUAUCAAAACCUGUUAUUAAAGUUGAGCAGUUCAUGAUGUUAAGUGGAAUUUAGCAAGGAAA
Molecule: small RNA, 286 nt
Filed under: Pongo abelii (Sumatran orangutan)
Lineage: Eukaryota; Metazoa; Chordata; Mammalia; Primates; Hominidae
Description: retained intron
Source: RNAcentral